Sinocyclocheilus grahami is the source of this 1145-nucleotide long non-coding RNA. RefSeq lists it as uncharacterized. Lineage: Eukaryota; Metazoa; Chordata; Actinopteri; Cypriniformes; Cyprinidae. The transcript is spliced from 3 exons. The record is from RefSeq and is a predicted model, not a curated record.
GCAGAAGAUCCGUCUCCUCCUCAGCCUGAGUCUGUGUCUGGAGCUGAAGACACGUCCGACCCUCCUAAAGACACUCCAGAACCAGACGAAACCAAACAAACCAGCGCCCUGAAGAUCAGUUUCAGGAAGAGAAAAGAAGAGCCGCUCCAAACAUCAGCGGACGACGGAGGAGAGAGAAGCUCAGAUGAUGGAGGAAACGGUGAGGAGAAACGGGAAGAUUCGGCCGUGACUGAUGCAGUGAAGGAGGUCGAGACGCCUGUGAAGAGACCCAGAAAGACCAAUCCGUACGGAGCCUGGGAACGAAUCCAGCCACAGGAGGAUCCAUACGAGAAGGUGGAUCUGCAGCUGCCGCAGACGGAGAGCGUCGCUCAGACUCCAGCCAGCGUCCCUCCGGAGCCCAGGGCCAGAUUCAAGGAGCGCACCAUCACGUCGCUGGGGGCCGAGAGCAGCGCCGGAGCCACGUUCAAGAAGAGGAAGACCGAGAACAGCAAGUCCAGGAGCCUCCGGCAGAGAGAAACAGACGAGUAGAAGCGUCUAGACGGGACGAGUCUUCAGAUCUUGCUUUAGAAUUUGAGUAUUUUACAUAUGUGUCCCUCCAGCACAAAAGCAGUCUUAAGCAGCACACAAAACUGAUCCUUAAGACUGGUUUUGUGCUCCAGGGUCACAUAUUAUUGGCAGGUGAUGCUUUAACUGCCUCCACCUGCUUCUCUGUGAAUAUUUCCAGGCAUCAGUUUUGUUUCCAGAGGUUAAAGUGAUCAGGUGUGAAGCGAGUGUGUCGUGUGUUUUACAAUAUUUGUGAUGACAAUGUUGUCAUGAAGAAUCAAAGCCAUAGUUUAAUUAGACACGUUCUAUCUUACAGAUGAAUCUGGACUUUCAUUGCUCAUCUCAAACCACAUUAAAAAAGUUUUGACAGUAAAACUGCAUCAGUUUCUUCACUGUGUGUAGUAUCCUGCGAUGCUGGUUCAAAUCUUCUUGACGCUCACUGAGAAGGGUUAUAAGCCUCAUAUCAACAUGAUUCAGAGCAGAUGAUGAUGAAUGCUUCUGUGAGCGUCUGAUAGGCUCAAUGCCUCGAUGAUAGUCGCUGUCCACACCCACAUCAACAAUCCACAGAGCGCCUGACGCAACAUUAGAAACCCAAACAGAUU